AUUGAACGCUGGCGGCAGGCCUAACACAUGCAAGUCGAACGAGUGGCGGACGGGUGAGUAAUGUCUGGGAAACUGCCUGAUGGAGGGGGAUAACUACUGGAAACGGUAGCUAAUACCGCAUACCAUCGGAUGUGCCCAGAUGGGAUUAGCUAGUAGGUGGGGUAACGGCUCACCUAGGCGACGAUCCCUAGCUGGUCUGAGAGGAUGACCAGGCAACCGGGAAAUGAGACCAGGUUCAGAAUCCUACGGGAGGCAUCAGUGGGGAAAGUUGGCCAAUGGGCGCAAGCCUGAUGGAGGCAUGCCGGGUGGAAGAAGGAGGCCUUCGGGUUGGAAAGUACUUUCAGCGGGGAGGCGUUACCCGCAGAAGAAGCACCGGCUAACUCCGUGCCAACAGCCGCGGUAAUUC
RNAcentral lists this ribosomal RNA (406 nucleotides) under uncultured bacterium. Its description in RNAcentral is "partial 16S ribosomal RNA". It matches the Rfam family "Bacterial small subunit ribosomal RNA", at positions 29 to 526 of the family's 1533-position model. The record is from RNAcentral.